GGCUUAACACAUGCAAGUCGAGGGGCAUCAGGGAGAAAGCUUGCUUUCUUUGCUGGCGACCGGCGCACGGGUGAGUAACGCGUAUCCAACCUUCCCCUUAGUAGGGCAUAGCCCGGCGAAAGUCGGAUUAAUACCCUAUGUUGUGUCAUGAGGACAUCUGAAUAACACUAAAGAUUUAUCGCUAAGGGAUGGGGAUGCGUCCGAUUAGCUUGCCGGCGGGGUAACGGCCCACCGGGGCGACGAUCGGUAGGGGUUCUGAGAGGAAGGUCCCCCACACUGGUACUGAGACACGGACCAGACUCCUACGGGAGGCAGCAGUGAGGAAUAUUGGUCAAUGGGCGAGAGCCUGAACCAGCCAAGUAGCGUGCAGGAUGACGGCCCUAUGGGUUGUAAACUGCUUUUAUGCGGGGAUAAAGUGACGUACGUGUACGUUUUUGUAGGUACCGCAUGAAUAAGGACCGGCUAAUUCCGUGCCAGCAGCCGCGGUAAUACGGAAGGUCCGGGCGUUAUCCGGAUUUAUUGGGUUUAAAGGGAGCGCAGGCGGAGGCUUAAGCGUGACGUGAAAUGCCGCGGCUCAACCGUGGAAGUGCGUCGCGAACUGGGUUUCUUGAGUGAGUGCGACGUGUACGGAAUUCGUGGUGUAGCGGUGAAAUGCUUAGAUAUCACGAAGAACCCCGAUUGCGAAGGCAGUGCACGAGCCCUUUACUGACGCUAAAGCUCGAAGGUGCGGGUAUCGAACAGGAUUAGAUACCCUGGUAGUCCGCACGGUAAACGAUGGAUGCCCGCUGUUGGCGAUAUACAGUCAGUGGCCAAGCGAAAGCGUUAAGCAUCCCACCUGGGGAGUACGCCGGCAACGGUGAAACUCAAAGGAAUUGACGGGGGCCCGCACAAGCGGAGGAACAUGUGGUUUAAUUCGAUGAUACGCGAGGAACCUUACCCGGGCUUGACAUCCCGAUGACAGAGUAUGUAAUGUACUUUCUCUACGGAGCAUUGGAGACAGGUGGUGCAUGGUUGUCGUCAGCUCGUGUCGUGAGAUGUUGGGUCAGUCCCGCAACGAGCGCAACCCUUACCCUUAGUAGCCAGCAGUAAGAUGGGCACUUCUAGGGGACUGCGGGGAUACCCGGAGAGGUGGGAUGACGUCAUCAUCAUGCCCUUAUGACAUGGCUACCACUGCUCAUGCGCACACAAGGGAGCGAGGGUGACCCGAACGAAAUCUAAAGGGCUCAGUCGGACUGAUCGACGACUCAAGCGAAUCCUAUAUCGCAAUCGAGUACCCGUGAUACUUUCUC
Molecule: ribosomal RNA, 1289 nt
Filed under: uncultured rumen bacterium
Lineage: Bacteria
Description: bacterial SSU rRNA
Rfam family: Bacterial small subunit ribosomal RNA
Source: RNAcentral